This 1696-nucleotide ribosomal RNA is filed under the name Escherichia coli. Its description in RNAcentral is "bacterial LSU rRNA". It matches the Rfam family "Bacterial large subunit ribosomal RNA", at positions 484 to 2164 of the family's 2925-position model. The record is from RNAcentral. Lineage: Bacteria; Pseudomonadati; Pseudomonadota; Gammaproteobacteria; Enterobacterales; Enterobacteriaceae.
CCGAUAGUGAACCAGUACCGUGAGGGAAAGGCGAAAAGAACCCCGGCGAGGGGAGUGAAAAAGAACCUGAAACCGUGUACGUACAAGCAGUGGGAGCCUCUUUAUGGGGUGACUGCGUACCUUUUGUAUAAUGGGUCAGCGACUUAUAUUCUGUAGCAAGGUUAACCGAAUAGGGGAGCCGAAGGGAAACCGAGUCUUAACUGGGCGUUAAGUUGCAGGGUAUAGACCCGAAACCCGGUGAUCUAGCCAUGGGCAGGUUGAAGGUUGGGUAACACUAACUGGAGGACCGAACCGACUAAUGUUGAAAAAUUAGCGGAUGACUUGUGGCUGGGGGUGAAAGGCCAAUCAAACCGGGAGAUAGCUGGUUCUCCCCGAAAGCUAUUUAGGUAGCGCCUCGUGAAUUCAUCUCCGGGGGUAGAGCACUGUUUCGGCAAGGGGGUCAUCCCGACUUACCAACCCGAUGCAAACUGCGAAUACCGGAGAAUGUUAUCACGGGAGACACACGGCGGGUGCUAACGUCCGUCGUGAAGAGGGAAACAACCCAGACCGCCAGCUAAGGUCCCAAAGUCAUGGUUAAGUGGGAAACGAUGUGGGAAGGCCCAGACAGCCAGGAUGUUGGCUUAGAAGCAGCCAUCAUUUAAAGAAAGCGUAAUAGCUCACUGGUCGAGUCGGCCUGCGCGGAAGAUGUAACGGGGCUAAACCAUGCACCGAAGCUGCGGCAGCGACGCUUAUGCGUUGUUGGGUAGGGGAGCGUUCUGUAAGCCUGUGAAGGUGUACUGUGAGGUAUGCUGGAGGUAUCAGAAGUGCGAAUGCUGACAUAAGUAACGAUAAAGCGGGUGAAAAGCCCGCUCGCCGGAAGACCAAGGGUUCCUGUCCAACGUUAAUCGGGGCAGGGUGAGUCGACCCCUAAGGCGAGGCCGAAAGGCGUAGUCGAUGGGAAACAGGUUAAUAUUCCUGUACUUGGUGUUACUGCGAAGGGGGGACGGAGAAGGCUAUGUUGGCCGGGCGACGGUUGUCCCGGUUUAAGCGUGUAGGCUGGUUUUCCAGGCAAAUCCGGAAAAUCAAGGCUGAGGCGUGAUGACGAGGCACUACGGUGCUGAAGCAACAAAUGCCCUGCUUCCAGGAAAAGCCUCUAAGCAUCAGGUAACAUCAAAUCGUACCCCAAACCGACACAGGUGGUCAGGUAGAGAAUACCAAGGCGCUUGAGAGAACUCGGGUGAAGGAACUAGGCAAAAUGGUGCCGUAACUUCGGGAGAAGGCACGCUGAUAUGUAGGUGAAGCGACUUGCUCGUGGAGCUGAAAUCAGUCGAAGAUACCAGCUGGCUGCAACUGUUUAUUAAAAACACAGCACUGUGCAAACACGAAAGUGGACGUAUACGGUGUGACGCCUGCCCGGUGCCGGAAGGUUAAUUGAUGGGGUUAGCGGUAACGCGAAGCUCUUGAUCGAAGCCCCGGUAAACGGCGGCCGUAACUAUAACGGUCCUAAGGUAGCGAAAUUCCUUGUCGGGUAAGUUCCGACCUGCACGAAUGGCGUAAUGAUGGCCAGGCUGUCUCCACCCGAGACUCAGUGAAAUUGAACUCGCUGUGAAGAUGCAGUGUACCCGCGGCAAGACGGAAAGACCCCGUGAACCUUUACUAUAGCUUGACACUGAACAUUGAGCCUUGAUGUGUAGGAUAGGUGGGAGGCUUUGAAGUG